RNAcentral lists this ribosomal RNA (363 nucleotides) under Rinodina sp. RNAcentral describes it as "SSU rRNA". It matches the Rfam family "Bacterial small subunit ribosomal RNA", at positions 329 to 759 of the family's 1533-position model. The record is from RNAcentral. Lineage: Eukaryota; Fungi; Ascomycota; Lecanoromycetes; Caliciales; Physciaceae.
GGAUGUAUAGCGAAAGCUAGUUGCACUUAAUUUAGUUAAAACUAAGUUGGUGCAGGAUUGACUUUGUCGAAUAAAGUUCUAGGUGGGUUAUGAUGAUGACAUUUCCUAUCUAUGUGUCUUGACCAAAUUACGUGCCAGCAGUCGCGGUAAUACGUAGAAGACUAGUGUUAUUCAUCUUUAAUAGGUUUAAAGGGUACCUAGACGGUAAAUCAAGUCUGAGAAGGGUACUAAUUUACUAGAGUUUAAUGUGAGGGGGCAUGAAAGUACUGAUAAGUGUAGAGAUGAAAUUCUGUGAUACAAUAUAUGGCACUGGCAAAGGCGAAAGCAUCUCCUUAUGUAAUAACUGACGUUGAAGGACGAAGG